GGCUGGAGACACCUAUUUAAGGGGAUUCCAUGUUAAAAGUGUUCUUGUCCAUUUACCUGCUGGCCAUCCUCAAAGCUCAAAGCACGGUAUUUUUCAGGGGCCUCUGUCCCCUGCCCUGGGGCCCUGCGCACUGUGCCGUAUUAACCUCCCCUUCUCUACCACCUGGAGGACCUUCAGGUCCCGCAGCUGGAGCAGAAGAACUGUCCUCUGCUCCACAAUGGAAAGGCAGGAUGUGUACUUUUUACUCUUGUGAAGUCCAAUUAUGCAUCUCAAGGGGAAAGUCUUCAUUUACUGUAUAAAGAUCUGUAAGACCCAGGCUGCCAAUCAGUUGAUUUAGAGGAACCAAACCGAACCCGCCCUCUAGCCCUCAAAGCCGGUACACCGAAGAGGAAAACAGACAUGACUCUGAGAUGUUUACUGAAGAACCACCAGCAAGUGGGGAGGCACCUAAGUAUCGAAGUGAAGAGCGGCACAGGAAACACAGCAUUCAGCCGGCCUACACAUGGGACAUCCCCGUGUCACUACUGACCUCAGGAUAUGGUCCAAAGAAAGACAAAAGCACGGGAAGCAAAACCAGCCCAUUGAGAACGCCGAGGAUGGUGAGGAUCGCCAGCACAGCAAAGAAAUACCUGGGAGAUCAAGAGGAAACGGGAACACGCGCUGUGACAGGGUGGAUCGCGCCACCCUCCGUGUGCCCGACACAGCAGCAUGGCAACGCCAGAAAUGAACAAAACCCACCCCACUGAAAAGGCUGUUAUCCAACCGCAGUUCACAUUCAACACAAGAUUCAGGCCUCAUUCCUCGCUUUGGAUCUUUUUUAAACAAAAUGAAAAACACCAGUGACAGCGGCUCCUAGAGAAGGAGUGAAGGAAGAAGGAGCAGGGAGAGAGUGAGAGAACUGGAUUUCGGGGAUCUGGAUUCAAUUAAUCCACAGGAUAUGUAACAACUGUAUGUCCUCAACACAUCCCUGGAAUCAAACAGCGCAGCCCGUGGCCUCCGUGUAUGCGGCACGCCUUUCUCCCUCCCGGGAGGAGGAAAUGGUAUCUGGGGGUCUGGCCCAAUCCCAUUU
This 1069-nucleotide long non-coding RNA is filed under the name Pan troglodytes (chimpanzee). RNAcentral's name for it is "long non-coding RNA NONPTRT017556". Lineage: Eukaryota; Metazoa; Chordata; Mammalia; Primates; Hominidae. The record is from RNAcentral.